GCAUAUCAAUAAGCGGAGGAAAAGAAACCAACAGGGAUUGCCCUAGUAACGGCGAGUGAAGCGGCAACAGCUCAAAUUUGAAAUCUGGCGUCUUUGGCGUCCGAGUUGUAAUUUGCAGAGGGCGCUUUGGCAUUGGCAGCGGUCCAAGUUCCUUGGAACAGGACGUCACAGAGGGUGAGAAUCCCGUACGUGGUCGCUAGCCUUUACCGUGUAAAGCCCCUUCGACGAGUCGAGUUGUUUGGGAAUGCAGCUCUAAAUGGGAGGUAAAUUUCUUCUAAAGCUAAAUACUGCCAGAGACGAUAGCGCACAGUAGAGUGAUCGAAGAUGAAAGCACUUUGGAAAGAGAGUAAAAAGCACGUGAAAUUGUUGAAUGGGAAGCGC
This 381-nucleotide ribosomal RNA is filed under the name fungal sp. Cul1_25. Its description in RNAcentral is "eukaryotic LSU rRNA". It matches the Rfam family "Eukaryotic large subunit ribosomal RNA", at positions 38 to 422 of the family's 3401-position model. Lineage: Eukaryota; Fungi. The record is from RNAcentral.